This 50-nucleotide transfer RNA is filed under the name Hyphomonadaceae bacterium. RNAcentral's name for it is "tRNA-Pro". It matches the Rfam family "tRNA", at positions 1 to 47 of the family's 71-position model. Rfam says of the family: Transfer RNA (tRNA) molecules are approximately 80 nucleotides in length. Their secondary structure includes four short double-helical elements and three loops (D, anti-codon, and T loops). Lineage: Bacteria; Pseudomonadati; Pseudomonadota; Alphaproteobacteria; Hyphomonadales; Hyphomonadaceae. The record is from RNAcentral.
CGGAGUGUAGCGCAGUCUGGUAGCGCAUCUGGUUUGGGACCAGAGGGUCG